RNAcentral lists this ribosomal RNA (997 nucleotides) under Serratia marcescens. RNAcentral's name for it is "partial 16S ribosomal RNA". The record is from RNAcentral. Lineage: Bacteria; Pseudomonadati; Pseudomonadota; Gammaproteobacteria; Enterobacterales; Yersiniaceae.
UUACACAUGCAAGUCGAGCGGUAGCACAGGGGAGCUUGCUCCCYGGGUGACGAGCGGCGGACGGGUGAGUAAUGUCUGGGAAACUGCCUGAUGGAGGGGGAUAACUACUGGAAACGGUAGCUAAUACCGCAUAACGUCGCAAGACCAAAGAGGGGGACCUUCGGGCCUCUUGCCAUCAGAUGUGCCCAGAUGGGAUUAGCUAGUAGGUGGGGUAAUGGCUCACCUAGGCGACGAUCCCUAGCUGGUCUGAGAGGAUGACCAGCCACACUGGAACUGAGACACGGUCCAGACUCCUACGGGAGGCAGCAGUGGGGAAUAUUGCACAAUGGGCGCAAGCCUGAUGCAGCCAUGCCGCGUGUGUGAAGAAGGCCUUCGGGUUGUAAAGCACUUUCAGCGAGGAGGAAGGUGGUGARCUUAAUACGUUCAUCAAUUGACGUUACUCGCAGAAGAAGCACCGGCUAACUCCGUGCCAGCAGCCGCGGUAAUACGGAGGGUGCAAGCGUUAAUCGGAAUUACUGGGCGUAAAGCGCACGCAGGCGGUUUGUUAAGUCAGAUGUGAAAUCCCCGGGCUCAACCUGGGAACUGCAUUUGARACUGGCAAGCUAGAGUCUCGUAGAGGGGGGGUAGAAUUCCAGGUGUAGCGGUGAAAUGCGUAGAGAUCUGGAGGAAUACCGGUGGCGAAAGCGGCCCCCUGKACGAASACUGACGCUCAGUGCGAAAGCGUGGGGAGCRAACAGGAKUAGAUACCCYGGUAGUSCACGCUGUAACGAUGUCGAUUUGAGGUUGUGCCCUUGAGGCGUGGCUUCCGSAGCUAACGCGUUAAUCGACCGYCUGGGGAGURCGGYCGKCRAGGUKARARSUCAAAUGAAUUGAYGGAGGCCCGCACAGCCGGYGGAGSAKGUGGUUUAGUUCGWUGYAUCGCGAGAAGCGUGACCUACUCUUGACAUCCGMGACCUUCAGAGAUGAUGUGCUYSGUARCUCUAUACAGUACUGCAUG